AAGAAUUAUGGUUUGAACUACGUAACAAUUACCUAGACAUCUUUUGGACUUCAGUUAACCUGUGUCAAGCACUGCAGUAGAUUCUGAAGAUACAAAAAUAAAUAAAACAUUCCUGCCCUCAAGACACUUACACUCUUAUGUGUAACACUGUGUGACCAUUCAUCUGGGCCUUCCUGAGACAGUCUUGGUUUACACCUGUUUUCCCAAUUUGUGACAACUGAGAUUCAGAGAUGUCCAAUCUACUCACAUAAAUAGCCUGGUUGAAGAUGGCUGAGCGUAAAACAGAAUGCAAGUCAGCUGGAGCACGUACUACUGGAGGCAGAGCCCCAUGAGAAGGGGCCAAGAACCCGCACCCAUCAAAAUCAAGAAGAAAGGCUGAACCCGGAGAGAAAAGGGAGCACUGUUCACAGUAGCAAUGACAUGGAGUCAACCUAAAUGUCCAUCAAUGAUAGACUGGAUAAAGAAAAUGUGGUACAUAUACACCAUGGAAUACUAUGCAGCCAUAAAAAGGAAUGAGAUCAUGCCCUUUGCAGGGACAUGGAUGGAGCUGGAAGCUAUUAUCUUCAGCAAAAGAAUGCAGGAACAGAAAACCAAAUACUGGAUGUUCUCACGUCAACUGAUGUUGCCAUGCAGAUCCCUUGGUUGCUAUGAGAUGGUAACAUCACUCUGCCCCACCAUUGGCCAGUGCCUCCUCAGCUGCGGUGCCUCCCAGGCUGUGUGGUUCUCACGCGGGCCACUGACACAGAGCUGUUACUAUGGUGAACUUUACAAUUUCCUUUGAUUGGUGGAUUUCAGAAAUAGGCCAUCAGCGGAAUUCAUUAUAUUCAGCUAAGUAAAAAUGAAAAAUAAAUACUAUAACUUUCCCCUCAUCACUAACAUGAAGGAAACGUGACCCUUCAUGACAUAAUAAAUCGCUGUUCGGUAACUUAGGAUCCUUCAGGGGACUGAAGCGGGAUGAUCCUCCUAUGCCAAAUUUGGGUGGGAAAGAUAUUCCCUGUAGCUUUGAGUCGACUCUUCAGAGUUAAGGGCAGUGGGCCAACCAGAGUUGGAACUUCAGAGUUGGGAGGAGGUGUGGGAUGGGGCAUGCAUUGAAAUGUAAACUCUAUUGUCUCUGAAGUGAUGGGUGAUGCUGGGGGCCUGAGUGUGGAGGGCAGUUUUACAUCUCAGGACAAUGUUUUCUCAGAUGCUCUUCCAGAAAGAAAAGCCAGGAGUACUCCUGGCUGGAGGCGGCAUGCCUGAGGUCAGAGUCAAAGUAGGGUUUGUGCUGUCUGAAUCCUUUCUCCCACUCUCCCCAGCCUGGCUCAGCUUCUCAGCUUCUCAGGUGGAUUGGCCUCUGAGCCCAAGCCAAGCCAUCGCAUCCCCUGUGACUUGCCCGUAUAUAUGCCCAGAUGGCCUGAAGUAACUGAAGAAUCACAAAAGAAGUGAAUAUGCCUUGCCCCACCUUGACUGAUGACAUUCCACCACAAAAGAAGUGUAAAUGGCCGGUCCUUGCCUUAACUGAUGACAUUACCUUGUGAAAGUCCUUUUCCUGGCUCAUCCUGGCUCAAAAAGCACCCCCACUGAGCAUCUUGCGACUCCCACUCCUGCCCACUGAGCACCUUGUGACCCCCACUCCUGCCUGCCAGAGAACAAACCCCCUUUGACUGUAAUUUUCCUUUACCUACCCAAAUCCUAUAA
RNAcentral lists this long non-coding RNA (1677 nucleotides) under Homo sapiens (human). RNAcentral's name for it is "novel transcript, antisense to PELI1". Lineage: Eukaryota; Metazoa; Chordata; Mammalia; Primates; Hominidae. The record is from RNAcentral.